This 435-nucleotide ribosomal RNA is filed under the name uncultured Terrisporobacter sp. Its description in RNAcentral is "bacterial SSU rRNA". It matches the Rfam family "Bacterial small subunit ribosomal RNA", at positions 958 to 1393 of the family's 1533-position model. The record is from RNAcentral. Lineage: Bacteria; Bacillati; Bacillota; Clostridia; Peptostreptococcales; Peptostreptococcaceae.
AACGCGAAGAACCUUACCUAAGCUUGACAUCCUUUUGACCGAUGCCUAAUCGCAUCUUUCCCUUCGGGGACAGAAGUGACAGGUGGUGCAUGGUUGUCGUCAGCUCGUGUCGUGAGAUGUUGGGUUAAGUCCCGCAGCGAGCGCAACCCUUGCCUUUAGUUGCCAGCAUUAAGUUGGGCACUCUAGAGGGACUGCCAGGGAUAACCUGGAGGAAGGUGGGGAUGACGUCAAAUCAUCAUGCCCCUUAUGCUUAGGGCUACACACGUGCUACAAUGGGUGGUACAGAGGGCAGCCAAGUCGUGAGGCCGAGCUAAUCCCUUAAAGCCGUUCUCAGUUCGGAUUGUAGGCUGAAACUCGCCUACAUGAAGCUGGAGUUACUAGUAAUCGCAGAUCAGAAUGCUGCGGUGAAUGCGUUCCCGGGUCUUGUACACACGC